RNAcentral lists this ribosomal RNA (301 nucleotides) under uncultured bacterium. Its description in RNAcentral is "partial 16S ribosomal RNA". It matches the Rfam family "Bacterial small subunit ribosomal RNA", at positions 509 to 808 of the family's 1533-position model. The record is from RNAcentral.
CAGCAGCCGCGGAAUACAGAGGGUGCGAGCGUUAAUCGGAUUUACUGGGCGUAAAGCGUGCGUAGGCGGCUUUUUAAGUCGGAUGUGAAAUCCCUGAGCUUAACUUAGGAAUUGCAUUCGAUACUGGGAAGCUAGAGUAUGGGAGAGGAUGGUAGAAUUCCAGGUGUAGCGGUGAAAUGCGUAGAGAUCUGGAGGAAUACCGAUGGCGAAGGCAGCCAUCUGGCCUAAUACUGACGCUGAGGUACGAAAGCAUGGGGAGCAAACAGGAUUAGAUACCCCUGUAGUCCCUGUCUCUUAUACA